GGGCGGUUAGCUCAGCGGUAGAGCACUACCUUGACAUGGUAGAGGUCACAGGUUCGAACCCUGUACCGCCCACCA
Molecule: transfer RNA, 75 nt
Filed under: Xanthomonas arboricola pv. pruni
Lineage: Bacteria; Pseudomonadati; Pseudomonadota; Gammaproteobacteria; Lysobacterales; Lysobacteraceae
Also listed under: 3 other names
Description: tRNA-Val
Rfam family: tRNA
About the family: Transfer RNA (tRNA) molecules are approximately 80 nucleotides in length. Their secondary structure includes four short double-helical elements and three loops (D, anti-codon, and T loops).
Source: RNAcentral